GAUGAACGCUGGCGGCGUGCCUAAUACAUGCAAGUCGAGCGAACGGACGAGAAGCUUGCUUCUCUGAUGUUAGCGGCGGACGGGUGAGUAACACGUGGAUAACCUACCUAUAAGACUGGGAUAACUUCGGGAAACCGGAGCUAAUACCGGAUGAUAUUUUGAACCGCAUGGUUCAAAAGUGAAAGACGGUCUUGCUGUCACUUAUAGAUGGAUCCGCGCUGCAUUAGCUAGUUGGUAAGGUAACGGCUUACCAAGGCAACGAUGCAUAGCCGACCUGAGAGGGUGAUCGGCCACACUGGAACUGAGGCACGGUCCAGACUCCUACGGGAGGCAGCAGUAGGGAAUCUUCCGCAAUGGGCGAAAGCCUGACGGAGCAAAGUCGCGUGAGUGAUGAAGGUCUUCGGAUCGUAAAACUCUGUUAUUAGGGAAGAACAUAUGUGUAAGUAACUGUGAACAUCUUGACGGUACCUAAUCAGAAAGCCACGGCUAACUACGUG
RNAcentral lists this ribosomal RNA (497 nucleotides) under uncultured bacterium. RNAcentral's name for it is "partial 16S ribosomal RNA". It matches the Rfam family "Bacterial small subunit ribosomal RNA", at positions 28 to 507 of the family's 1533-position model. The record is from RNAcentral.